RNAcentral lists this long non-coding RNA (1094 nucleotides) under Olea europaea subsp. europaea. Lineage: Eukaryota; Viridiplantae; Streptophyta; Magnoliopsida; Lamiales; Oleaceae. The record is from RNAcentral.
AUCCAUUGCUCUCGUCUACCGUCUGCAUAGUGCUAGUCAUCGCCCGUCGUCGUCGAAACUCUACGGUAUGUAACAUUUGAUUUAGGUCGUUGUCUUCCACUUUUAGUGUCUGCAAUGUUAAUAUGUUAACGUUUUCUCCCAGUUUUUUGAAUGUUGAUUUAGGUAUUAUUCAUUCCUGUAAGUAACUGUGUUUACCAAUUUAGGAUUUUUUGGUUUAGGGAUUUCUAAUUUAGGAAUUUGCUUUAUGAUUUAGUGUCUUGGGAUUUGAAAAUUUUGAAGAUUUCUAUGGUUUAUCACAUGAUUGAAAUUUUUGAGUGAUUAUUAGUGUGAUAAACUCUUUAGAAUUGGAUAAAAUCCUAUAUUAAUUUUUGUGAUUACUGCAUGGAUGAAUUGUGUCUUUUUGGUUACUGACCUCAUGAUCAAUGGACAUCAAUGCAAAUAGCAGAAACUCUUUUAUUCUUAAAAUUAUUUAUAGAUACUGAGGAUAGUGACCACUUUUUUUAACUCCCAUAUACAGGUUCUAGAAGGUGUUAUCGAGUAUAGAUGGAAUGCUUUGCCUGUUGAACAACGAGAUGGCAUGAAAAACUAUGUUUCUGAAGUUAUAGUUAAGGUAUGAUCUCCCCAAUUUUGGUGGGGAAAAUUGAAUGAUAUGUGCUCUCUGUUGCAUAUUUAUUGAAGAGUAUGAAUUCUCAACUUUUUCCAUUACUUGAUCUGUGCAGCUGCAAAAACAAGUGACGAGAUCUCUAUAUGUGAGAAUUGCAUGGCUACACUGAAAGUGAGGCAGUAAUCCCAUAUAUCCUUGGUUUUUUGGGAAUAUGUACAUGCAGUUGACAUAGAUGUUACUUGUCAGCUUCUAAGUGAAGAGGUCUUUGACUUUUCAAGAGGUGAAAUGACUCAGUGGAAGAUUAAAGAGUUGAAACAAUCACUAAACAGGUUACAAUUUAGUUGAUGAUGAUGCUGGACGAAUAGCUGCUUCUAAGCAUAGGGCUUUGUGAUUGGCCUAUAAUAGACCGAAACAAAGGGCCAUUUAGUUCACAAUUUGAAUUGUUGCUGUUCAAUGUUUGAUAGUAUCAUAAUGGACAAAGAAUGGCUGC